GCCGUCGUUGGCCAGUGGCAGGCCGCUCCCGCUUCCUUGCAAUAGAUAUGAGAAAGUCAUGGGAGUGCGGGGGUUCGAAUCCUCCCGGCGGUA
Mycena galericulata is the source of this 93-nucleotide non-coding RNA. The record is from the annotation of a GenBank genome assembly. NCBI's taxonomy places the organism in Eukaryota, Fungi, Basidiomycota, Agaricomycetes, Agaricales, Mycenaceae.